GCCUACGGCCACACCACCAUGAAAGCACCUGAUCUCGGAAGCGAUCCAGGGCCUGUCCUGGUUAGUACCUGGAUGGGAGACCGCCUGGGAAUACCAGGUGUCGUAGGCU
This is a non-coding RNA of Xenopus laevis (African clawed frog), 109 nucleotides long. NCBI's taxonomy places the organism in Eukaryota, Metazoa, Chordata, Amphibia, Anura, Pipidae. The record is from Rfam.